This 372-nucleotide ribosomal RNA is filed under the name uncultured bacterium. RNAcentral describes it as "partial 16S ribosomal RNA". It matches the Rfam family "Bacterial small subunit ribosomal RNA", at positions 338 to 710 of the family's 1533-position model. The record is from RNAcentral.
CCUACGGGAGGCAGCAGUGGGGAAUAUUGCACAAUGGGGGAAACCCUGAUGCAGCGACGCCGCGUGAGUGAAGAAGUAUUUCGGUAUGUAAAGCUCUAUCAGCAGGGAAGAAAUAAAGUCCUUCGGACUUUGGACGGUACCUGACUAAGAAGCCGCGGCUAACUACGUGCCAGCAGCCGCGGUAAUACGAAGGGGGCAAGCGUUAUACGCCUUUACUGGGUGUAAAGGGAGGGUAGACGGCAGCGCAAGUCUGUAGUGAAAGUCCAUGGCUUAACCAUGGAACUGCAUGUGAAACUGUGCAGCUGGAGUACAGGAGAGGUAAGCGGAAUUCGUAGUGUAGCGGUGAAAUGCGUAGAUAUUAGGAAGAACGCC